AACGAACGCUGGCGGCAUGCCUAACACAUGCAAGUCGAACGAGACCUUCGGGUCUAGUGGCGCACGGGUGCGUAACGCGUGGGAACCUGCCCUUAGGUUCGGAAUAACUCAGAGAAAUUUGAGCUAAUACCGGAUGAUGUCUUCGGACCAAAGAUUUAUCGCCUUUAGAUGGGCCCGCGUUGGAUUAGCUAGUUGGUGGGGUAAAGGCCUACCAAGGCGACGAUCCAUAGCUGGUCUGAGAGGAUGAUCAGCCACACUGGGACUGAGACACGGCCCAGACUCCUACGGGAGGCAGCAGUGGGGAAUAUUGGACAAUGGGCGAAGGCCUGAUCCAGCACUGCCGCGUGAGUGGUGAAGGCCUUAGGGUUGUAAAGCUCUUUUACCCGAGAUGAUAAUGACGGUAUCGGGAGAAUAAGCUCCGGCUAACUCCGUG
RNAcentral lists this ribosomal RNA (433 nucleotides) under uncultured bacterium. Its description in RNAcentral is "partial 16S ribosomal RNA". It matches the Rfam family "Bacterial small subunit ribosomal RNA", at positions 29 to 507 of the family's 1533-position model. The record is from RNAcentral.